Molecule: transfer RNA, 66 nt
Filed under: Slackia isoflavoniconvertens
Lineage: Bacteria; Bacillati; Actinomycetota; Coriobacteriia; Eggerthellales; Eggerthellaceae
Rfam family: tRNA
About the family: Transfer RNA (tRNA) molecules are approximately 80 nucleotides in length. Their secondary structure includes four short double-helical elements and three loops (D, anti-codon, and T loops). Further hydrogen bonds mediate the characteristic L-shaped molecular structure. tRNAs have two regions of fundamental functional importance: the anti-codon, which is responsible for specific mRNA codon recognition, and the 3' end, to which the tRNAs corresponding amino acid is attached (by aminoacyl-tRNA synthetases). tRNAs cope with the degeneracy of the genetic code in two manners: having more than one tRNA (with a specific anti-codon) for a particular amino acid; and 'wobble' base-pairing, i.e. permitting non-standard base-pairing at the 3rd anti-codon position.
Source: RNAcentral
GGUGUGGCCUAGUUGGUUAGGGCGCAAGAUUGUGGCUCUUGAGGUCGUCGGUUCGAAUCCGAUCAC